This is a long non-coding RNA of Panicum virgatum (switchgrass), 625 nucleotides long. RefSeq lists it as uncharacterized. The transcript has 2 exons. Lineage: Eukaryota; Viridiplantae; Streptophyta; Magnoliopsida; Poales; Poaceae. The record is from RefSeq and is a predicted model, not a curated record.
UUUACGCGCUCCCGCAUAGGGACGACACGUGCGUCGUCGGUGCCUCUCUAACAUUUCCCUCUCCAGUCGGCUGCUGCCUUCGUUGAUGUUGUCACUGUUCUCCACCUUCCUUGGUAAGCGGUUGGCCUUACCGAAGCCAUCCCCUUGGCCUGGAGCUGCUGCUCUCGGCCACCACUACACCGUGGCUUGAUUCUUCAUGACCGGCGGCUUCGACCACCAUGGCAUCCAACCUUCGUUCCCCAUUUUCUGUUCGAUGCACCUCAUGGCUAGUGGCUCUCACCCCUGCGGUCACUGAUGGAGGCCUCCUCUAUGGCUAACUGGUGUGUGAGAUUGACCGGAUUUGGAGGCAGCGAUGUGCCGGUGGAAUGGGGAGGCAAGGCAACAGGAGGAAAUCUUAAUAUCCACGCCUCCAACUGCUACUUGUGACAGGAACAAAAAGGUUGCAGGAACAUUAUAAGUGAUUUUGUUUAAUUCUGCAAAUGAGAUUCGAUCUGUUCUUUUUAGAAUGCGAAUUUUCUUUCCUGUAUGGCCAGAUGUUGCUUAUGUAAAAUAAUGAAAGCCAAAUUGUCAAAAUGGUUUCUUUUUUAUAAGAAAAUUGUCAGAAUGUUUGGUGUAAAGCUGUAAA